CAAAACCCACUAACAUCUUUACCUCACUUCACCACUUUUUUUGCUCUCAUCACCAACCUACCAUUGUGCCACUACCUCUUCUCUUCCACUCCAGUUCAAUAUGAAUUCCAACUUCAGAUCAUGCCACAGAAUUUGCAACCAUCAACUUGGAUGCCAUCUAGGAAACAAAAAGAACAAGGAUGCUCUUCAUGUUAAUUAGUUCUACUAGUUAGGCCACAAGCCUUCAACUUGAAGGGCAACCAAUGAUCCUUUGGCAAUGUUUACUAUUAUAUCAUACACACACACACUCACUCAGUGUAAGCAAUCUUGGUAAUUAGUUUACUGUUUUUGCUCUUAUGUUGUUUAUUUCUCUAUAGAUGUUUCUGAGUAACAUGUUUCUAUUUGGGUAGCCUGUGUCCUGAUUCACUGUUAAUGCUAUGUUAAACUCUGCCAUUGGUUUUCAAAUCUUUUUUAUUUCAAGUUCUUUUGUUUUUAUAAUUGCUUGUUUAGUUUGACUAUUCAGGUCAGCAAGAUUUCUAACUUGUGGUUUAUUUAUUCAUUCAAUUUAACGCAAGAAGUAUUUUGUAGCUUAAAAUAGCAAAAAUUGGCUAAAUACUAUAUGGAUUAAGUACUUAGUGUUCACACAAGUGUAAAAACGAUCUAUUCACUAAGAAAUCUCGUAUUCGUUUAUUAUCGUGUACGUAAACCCUUCUAGCCACAAUAAUAACUACGGAUGAAAUUAUCUUUUUAGUAGGAAAAUAAAAGUUCAACAUGUUUUUCGUCCAUUUAACUUUAACAUAAAAUUGAAUUUUGUUUUUAGUUUAAAUUUUAGACCAUUCAAAUACUUGUAGUAUAAAAAUGAUUAAAAUAAAUUUUAUUAUGUGAAAUUGGUUCAAUUUAAAGUUUCACUUCAUCAAUACAUUGAAUAUAGUUACAAUGAACAUCAGUCUUUAAUUAAAAUAAUAAUAAAUUUUUAAAAAAAUUAACAAUCAUUUUAUUUGUAUAAUUAUACAUUUUAAUCAUCUUUAAACUACAAUUAUCUGGAUAGUCUAAAGUUUAAACUAAAAACAAAAAUCAAUUUCGUAUUAUAAUAUAUAGACGAAAAAUAUAUUUAACUUUUAAGUAAUAUAUGAAAUUAAAUGGUAGGUAACUAAUAAGUGUUGAAGCUAAAGGUAUUGUAGAUAGACUAAUUUUAUUUAACCUAUUUAAAUUAAUUUAGUUAUAUUAUUUUAUAGUGAAUAAAAUAAUUUUUUUCUUAUUUAAAACCUAUUUCCUAAAUCAGAAUUUUAUAAUUCUUAUAACCUUUGAAUUAUUUUAAAACCAAUGUAAAUUAAUUUUAUUAAAAACUUCAUAAUAUAGAGAAUUCUGAAAAGGAUAUAUUUUGUUUAUAUGUUAAUAUGAUAUGGAAAGGCAUAAUAAACCAUGCGAAUUAAGUAGUAGUUUUAAUUAAAAUCAUUAAUUUUUAAUUUUAUUUUUUAUUAUACUUUUUAAUUUUAAAUCAAUUAUGAUAAAUGGACUAUGUGUUUUGUCCUUACUUUUUUCUAUUAAUCCUAUUAAAAAGUGGGUUUAUAUAUCUCUAACUUAAUUUUAUAAAAUUGGCUUGCAAGGUAAAGACUAUAAACUUAUACAUAGAUUAUUUUUAUGGAUAAUUGAUAUAUGAUAUCCAACACAAAAUGAAAACCUAAUUAGUUGUCUAUGUGGACGUAGGUUGCAGAUUGACAGCGACCGAACCACGUUAAAUCAUGUGUUGUUUAUUUUCUGCAGUUGAUUUGCGAUUGUGUGUUGCUUUCGCGUGCGUUUUUCCAUCAGCUUCCACUCAACUACAUCAACAUUGACAUUAUUAUUUUUUUUUGCUGGACUCACCAUUGUCGAUGUGUUGUUGGUUUAGGGUUUAGGGUUUAUAAAUGAGUCAUUUAUAGUCUUUCUGAAGGAGCAAUGUACUUAAGAGACACUUCAAUAUAACACCUCAAAUUGGAAUCUUUAACCAAAAUCAAAAUGCACUUAAAAUAUGAUUCUUCAAAUUGGAAUCACAACAAGCUAUAACUAAGACAACUUGCAAAAUUGCAUCCAAAAUUUCUUUGAGUCUUAAUAUGUACAUCCUCACCCCACCACAAAGCAACUGUAGGCACAGGCGCAAGGAGAGAGUUCAUCGGAAUUGGAGCCGGUGGGAAGCUCAUUGAUGUCACAGUCGGAGUAGACGAUGUCGGAGGCUUGGUCGCUGGAGUAGGAGCCACAACCGUGGGAGGAGAUGUCGCUGACAAUGCGG
RNAcentral lists this long non-coding RNA (2245 nucleotides) under Phaseolus vulgaris (common bean). RNAcentral's name for it is "long non-coding RNA (PVUL_LNC002718)". The record is from RNAcentral. Lineage: Eukaryota; Viridiplantae; Streptophyta; Magnoliopsida; Fabales; Fabaceae.